Molecule: long non-coding RNA, 1859 nt
Organism: Dermochelys coriacea (leatherback sea turtle)
Lineage: Eukaryota; Metazoa; Chordata; Testudines; Dermochelyidae
Exons: 3
Source: RefSeq, a predicted model, not a curated record
GACUGCCAGAGAGACUGAAGGAUUACUGGGAAGUGACUCUUCAACAGCAGACUGGCAAGAAGCUGCUCAGGAAGUCAGCUGCCUAAAGUGGGAGAACCAGGAGAAAAGAGGCUGCCUAAUGAUAUGUUCUGCAGAUGGAUCAGUGCUGGCACUCAAACAACUCUAUUUCUGGUACACAGAAAACAUGCUCCACAACAGAAAAGUUUGGUGAUACAGAGAAUAUUGAAGAAUAUACAUGGAAAGUGAAUUUCAAAAUUGACUCUCCACAUCAGAAGGCUGCUAUUAAGCACUAAGCUCAACCAACCAAGGAACAGAAGUAAUACCAUGGGUACUAUAUGUCCAAUCAAAUUGAAACAACACCUCUCAAAUAUUAAAUAUAAAGUAUUUAUAAGAACAUGAUGGCCUAAAUAUUUGGCAAUAGUCCAGCCAAGGACCUAAGCAUGUGUUUAAUUUUACGCAAUCAAGUAUUUCAAAUUACUUAAAUGGGGUGACUCACAUGCUUAAAGUUAAACCUUAAGUAUUUUGCUGGACUGAGGCUUUACAAACUAAGAAUUCUUUGCUAAAAGCAUUUAUCUAAUAAAUUAUAAUAAGGGAGAAAAUCACAAGUCACAAUGGACAAGCAAAGGAAAAUGCAUUGGAAAAAUUAUGAACUGUCUGCUCUUCACUUCGCAUUGUCUGUUCUUUUCCACAGCUACUGUAGCUAGGAGAUUCGCUUGGUAUGAAUUUGUUGGCCACAGGUAAUACAAUAAUGCUGAGUCCUUCCAAAUACAACACCUUCAGCAAGUCUUUCAGUGCAUGUUAUCUCUGCAAGAGUUCUCUUUCUCCUGACAGCUUGUUCAGUGUAGAAGGAGAGGACAGCAUGUCCAAGGUGUUGUUUGACAAUAUCACUGUUCUUUCCCCUCUCAGGUUGUCAUUUUUUACUAAGGAUUUUCUGUUUGCAGGAGGAGUUCUUUUGCAGGCCCAUUUGCCGGUGAUAUUAUACAGCCACAAAGGAAGUCUGGGAAACCUCAUGCCUCCCCAAAAUAGAUUAAAUUAGAUUGAUAUUCAAACAGUUAUGGGAACAGAACAUGUUGCGGUAUAAGUGAGAGUGCCAUUAUUAGCGCUCUCUUUUGUUAUCUCUUAUUCAGGACUGUGUUGCAACCCAGUUUAUUAAUAGCUGGUGGGACGCAAGUAAGACUUUAUCAAUGUACACAGGAGAGCAUGUGUGUGAAAUUUCAAUGGCAAGGGAGUGUGGUUAGAGGAAAAUCUUUUGUUGUUUUUUUUUCCUGUGGUGUAAUCACAGAGAAAAAAUUCACUUGUGCAUUCAAGUGAUGACGCAUACCAUUCUGGGGAGAACUGCAAAAAUAUCUUUGAAAGGAUGCUGUACCAAGACCGUACAAACCUUUUUAAGAAUGAGCAAACAACCAGUUUUUAAGGAUCUUCAAAAUGCAACACUUCCUAGGUUAUUGCUUUUUAACUUGUCUUGUAAGUGUCAUUUCAUCUUGGAUCAUCAUAGGUUACUGGAAAGCAAUGUGGUGUAGGAGUUAAGGGCUGAGUAGUAUGUGUUAAAAUUAUUUUGUGAUGAUGUUCUGAACUAAUAUCUUAACUCUUCAUGAAUCCGGAUGACAUUUAUGAAUAAUUCAUUCAUUGCACGGUAAGAUGAACUACAGCAAUUUCUUCCCAAGAGUUAUAUGGAAGAGCUAUUGACAAUACAAAAACUGAUGUUAACAAAAGGACAGUGGUAGAGAUGGAACUGAAGAUAGAAGCCAGUGUACAAUUUUUUGGAAAAAUCUGUCAGCACUGAUAGUUUUUCUUACUUUGAUAAAUUAGAAUAUUGUCUGGAAUAUAAAAUUGUACAAAUAUAUGUAAAGCUUUUUUUU